GGAUUGCCCUAGUAACGGCGAGUGAAGCGGCAACAGCUCAAAUUUGAAAUCUGGCUCUUUCAGAGUCCGAGUUGUAAUUUGCAGAGGGCGCUUUGGCUUUGGCAGCGGUCCAAGUUCCUUGGAACAGGACGUCACAGAGGGUGAGAAUCCCGUACGUGGUCGCUAGCUAUUGCCGUGUAAAGCCCCUUCGACGAGUCGAGUUGUUUGGGAAUGCAGCUCUAAAUGGGAGGUAAAUUUCUUCUAAAGCUAAAUAUUGGCCAGAGACCGAUAGCGCACAAGUAGAGUGAUCGAAAGAUGAAAAGCACUUUGGAAAGAGAGUCAAACAGCACGUGAAAUUGUUGAAAGGGAAGCGCUUGCAGCCAGACUUGCUUGCAGUUGCUCAUCCGGGCUUUUGCCCGGUGCACUCUUCUGCAGGCAGGCCAGCAUCAGUUUGGGCGGUGGGAUAAAGGUCUCUGUCACGUACCUUCCUUCGGGUUGGCCAUAUAGGGGAGACGUCAUACCACCAGCCUGGACUGAGGUCCGCGCAUCUGCUAGGAUGCUGGCGUAAUGGCUGUAAGCGGCCCGUCUUGAAACACGGACCAAGGAGUCUAACAUCUAUGCGAGUGUUUGGGUGUCAAGCCCGAGCGCGUAAUGAAAGUGAACGGAGGUGGGAACCCGCAAGGGUGCACCAUCGACCGAUCCUGAAGUUUACGGAAGGAUUUGAGUAAGAGCAUGGCUGUUGGGACCCGAAAGAUGGUGAACUAUGCUUGAAUAGGGUGAAGCCAGAGGAAACUCUGGUGGAGGCUCGCAGCGGUUCUGACGUGCAAAUCGAUCGUCAAAUUUGGGCAUAGGGGCGAAAGACUAAUCGA
RNAcentral lists this ribosomal RNA (848 nucleotides) under Curvularia perotidis. RNAcentral describes it as "eukaryotic LSU rRNA". It matches the Rfam family "Eukaryotic large subunit ribosomal RNA", at positions 72 to 938 of the family's 3401-position model. Lineage: Eukaryota; Fungi; Ascomycota; Dothideomycetes; Pleosporales; Pleosporaceae. The record is from RNAcentral.